Molecule: ribosomal RNA, 253 nt
Filed under: uncultured bacterium
Lineage: Bacteria
Description: partial 16S ribosomal RNA
Rfam family: Bacterial small subunit ribosomal RNA
Source: RNAcentral
UACGAAGGUGGCUAGCGUUGUUCGGAAUCACUGGGCUUAAAGAGCACGUAGGCGGAAAUGAAAGUGCCUUGUGAAAUCCCUCGGCUUAACCGAGGAAUCGUUGGGCAAACUACAUUUCUUGAGGCAAGCAGGGGUGUGUGGAACUCUUGGUGGAGCGGUGGAAUGCGUAGAUAUCAAGAGGAACGCCGAAGGUGAAGACAGCACACUGGGCUUGUCCUGACGCUGAGGUGCGAAAGCGUGGGGAGCAAACGGA